This 546-nucleotide ribosomal RNA is filed under the name Hansenula anomala. RNAcentral's name for it is "eukaryotic LSU rRNA". It matches the Rfam family "Eukaryotic large subunit ribosomal RNA", at positions 88 to 648 of the family's 3401-position model. Lineage: Eukaryota; Fungi; Ascomycota; Saccharomycetes; Phaffomycetales; Wickerhamomycetaceae. The record is from RNAcentral.
GGCGAGUGAGCGGCAAAAGCUCAAAUUUGAAAUCUAGCACCUUCGGUGUUCGAGUUGUAAUUUGAAGAUGGUAACCUUGGGUUUGGCUCUUGUCUAUGUUCCUUGGAACAGGACGUCAUAGAGGGUGAGAAUCCCGUCUGAUGAGAUGCCCAUUCCUAUGUAAGGUGCUAUCGAAGAGUCGAGUUGUUUGGGAAUGCAGCUCUAAGUGGGUGGUAAAUUCCAUCUAAAGCUAAAUAUUGGCGAGAGACCGAUAGCGAACAAGUACAGUGAUGGAAAGAUGAAAAGAACUUUGAAAAGAGAGUGAAAAAGUACGUGAAAUUGUUGAAAGGGAAGGGCAUUAGAUCAGACUUGGUGUUUUACGAUUAUCUUCUCUUCUUGAGUUGUGCACUCGUAUUUCACUGGGCCAGCAUCGAUUCGGAUGGCAAGAUAAUGGCAGUUGAAUGUGGCUUCACUUCGGUGGAGUGUUAUAGCUUCUGCUGAUAUUGCCUGUCUGGAUCGAGGGCUGCGUCUUUUGACUAGGAUGCUGGCGUAAUGAUCUAAUGCCGC